RNAcentral lists this unclassified non-coding RNA (219 nucleotides) under uncultured Lactarius. RNAcentral's name for it is "sequence contains ITS1". Lineage: Eukaryota; Fungi; Basidiomycota; Agaricomycetes; Russulales; Russulaceae. The record is from RNAcentral.
UCGUACAAAAUGUGUGAGGCAUGCUGCGAGGGCUGUCGCUGACUCAAAGUCGUGCACGCGCCGGAGUGUGUCCUCUCACAUAACAAUCCAUCUCACCCUUUGUGCACCACCGCGUGGGCACCCUUUGGGAUCGCAUCGAUCUCAGAGGGGGCUCACGUUUUCACACAAAAAACCCCCCUUUUGAAAAAGUGUAGAAUGUCCUCGUUUAUGCAAUCAAUA